RNAcentral lists this ribosomal RNA (251 nucleotides) under uncultured bacterium. RNAcentral's name for it is "partial 16S ribosomal RNA". It matches the Rfam family "Bacterial small subunit ribosomal RNA", at positions 524 to 773 of the family's 1533-position model. The record is from RNAcentral.
UACGUAGGGGGCUAGCGUUGUCCGGAAUCAUUGGGCGUAAAGCGCGUGUAGGCGGUCCGGUAAGUCCGCUGUGAAAGUCGGGGGGCUCAACCCUCGGAUGCCGGUGGAUACUGUCGGGCUUGAGUACGGAAGAGGCGAGUGGAAUUCCUGGUGUAGCGGUGGAAUGCGCAGAUAUCAGGAGGAACACCGGUGGCGAAGGCGGGUCUCUGGGCCGUAACUGACGCUGAGGAGCGAAGGCAUGGGGAGCAAAC